UACGUAGGGGGCAAGCGUUGUCCGGAUUUAUUGGGCGUAAAGAGCGUGUAGGCGGCCAAGUAAGUCUGCUGUGAAAACUCGAGGCUUAACCUCGAGCUGUCGGCGGAAACUAUUUGGCUAGAGUCCGGAAGAGGAGAAUGGAACUCCCGGUGUAGCGGUGAAAUGCGCAGAUAUCGGGAAGAACACCCGUGGCGAAGGCGGUUCUCUGGGACGGUACUGACGCUGAGACGCGAAAGCGUGGGGAGCGAACAGG
This 253-nucleotide ribosomal RNA is filed under the name uncultured bacterium. RNAcentral describes it as "partial 16S ribosomal RNA". It matches the Rfam family "Bacterial small subunit ribosomal RNA", at positions 524 to 776 of the family's 1533-position model. The record is from RNAcentral.